UUUAUCAAAGAAAUUUUUUACUCUCCUCAUUUCUUGCCUUUGCUUAAGUACUUUCUUCUUUGAGAAGUUGCUCUUAUUUGCUUCGGUCAACCUUCCAUCUCAGUUAAUGCUUCAAGUCUUUCAAACUUUUCAAGGUUUGAAGAGAGACAAGGAUUUUCCAUUGGAUCGUAUUUUUUGAAAAAGAAAAAGGGCUCUUGAGAGGUGGUACUGUCGUCCUUUCACAACUAACUAUUUCAACAUUUUAGGUUAAGAAAUAACUUUCCUUGAAUUUUAUUUGUGCGUGAGGAAAUAGAUAAACAAUAAAAUAUUAACACUUCUAAUGGAAUAUUUAGAAGGUGUACUAAA
Molecule: long non-coding RNA, 345 nt
Organism: Trifolium pratense (red clover)
Lineage: Eukaryota; Viridiplantae; Streptophyta; Magnoliopsida; Fabales; Fabaceae
Exons: 2
Source: RefSeq, a predicted model, not a curated record